GACGAACGCUGGCGGCGUGCUUAACACAUGCAUGUCGAACGGUAAGGCUCCAGUUUGCUGGGGUACACGAGUGGCGAACGGGUGAGUAACACGUGGGUGACCUGCCCUGCACUUCGGGAUAAGCCUGGGAAACUGGGUCUAAUACCGGAUAGGACCAUGGUGUGGAUACUGUGGUGGAAAGUUUUUUCGGUGUGGGAUGGGCCCGCGGCCUAUCAGCUUGUUGGUGGGGUAUUGGCUUACCAAGGCGGUGACGGGGAGCCGGCCUGAGAGGGUGACCGGCCACAUUGGGACUGAGACACGGCCCAGACUCCUACGGGAGGCAGCAGUGGGGAAUAUUGCACAAUGGGCGGAAGCCUGAUGCAGCAACGCCGCGUGGGGGAUGACGGCCUUCGGGUUGUAAACUCCUUUCACCAUCGACGAAGGGUGUGUGACGGUAGUUGGUAAAGAAGCACCGGCUAACUACGUG
RNAcentral lists this ribosomal RNA (466 nucleotides) under uncultured bacterium. RNAcentral describes it as "partial 16S ribosomal RNA". It matches the Rfam family "Bacterial small subunit ribosomal RNA", at positions 28 to 507 of the family's 1533-position model. The record is from RNAcentral.